This 799-nucleotide ribosomal RNA is filed under the name uncultured bacterium. RNAcentral describes it as "bacterial SSU rRNA". It matches the Rfam family "Bacterial small subunit ribosomal RNA", at positions 8 to 808 of the family's 1533-position model. The record is from RNAcentral.
AGAGUUUGAUCCUGGCUCAGGAUGAACGUUGGCGGCGUGCUUAACACAUGCAAGUCGAACGGGAAACCUUUUAUUGAAGCUUCGGCAGAUUUAGAUUGUUUCUAGUGGCGGACGGGUGAGUAACGCGUGGGUAACCUGCCUUAUACAGGGGGAUAACAGUCAGAAAUGACUGCUAAUACCGCAUAAGCGCACAGAGCUGCAUGGCUCGGUGUGAAAAACUCCGGUGGAAUAAGAUGGACCCGCGUUGGAUUAGCUAGUUGGUGAGGUAACGGCCCACCAAGGCGACGAUCCAUAGCCGGCCUGAGAGGGUGAACGGCCACAUUGGGACUGAGACACGGCCCAGACUCCUACGGGAGGCAGCAGUGGGGAAUAUUGCACAAUGGGGGGAACCCUGAUGCAGCGACGCCGCGUGAAGGAAGAAGUAUCUCGGUAUGUAAACUUCUAUCAGCAGGGAAGAAAAUGACGGUACCUGACUAAGAAGCCCCGGCUAACUACGUGCCAGCAGCCGCGGUAAUACGUAGGGGGCAAGCGUUAUCCGGAUUUACUGGGUGUAAAGGGAGCGUAGACGGAUGGACAAGUCUGAUGUGAAAGGCUGGGGCUCAACCCCGGGACUGCAUUGGAAACUGCCCGUCUUGAGUGCCGGAGAGGUAAGCGGAAUUCCUAGUGUAGCGGUGAAAUGCGUAGAUAUUAGGAGGAACACCAGUGGCGAAGGCGGCUUACUGGACGGUAACUGACGUUGAGGCUCGAAAGCGUGGGGAGCAAACAAAAUUAGAUACCCUGGUAGUCCACGCGGUAAACG